This is a long non-coding RNA of Spodoptera frugiperda (fall armyworm), 2533 nucleotides long. RefSeq lists it as uncharacterized. The transcript is spliced from 2 exons. The record is from RefSeq and is a predicted model, not a curated record. NCBI's taxonomy places the organism in Eukaryota, Metazoa, Arthropoda, Insecta, Lepidoptera, Noctuidae.
UAAUAUAUUGUAAGGGAACGUCGUCGGUUUGACGUUUGUCGAACUGUCAAAUUCAAUUGACAGGAUAAGACAAGCGACACUUCCGCCCACUUCCGCUCCAGACCGCACCGCGACCGGUGCAUGAUAUCGCUUUUGAAUCGUAUCUCUUUAUUGUUAUCCUUUGUAGCCAGAAAUUGGUAAUAUCAAGCAUUGUAUUUGUGUUAGUAAUAUUAAAACCAUUUAGUAAGUUGUAGAGGUGGUUUCAUUCUCCUUACAUCAGAAGUGGGAUUCCUACCUAUUGCAUAUCCACGUGCAGUCUUUAAUUAUCAAUUUCUGGCUUCUUGAUUCGUGGCGUAACUAGUGACGGAUUACUGUGUAAUUGCGUGUAACAAUGGGCAAACGUGAUCGUUCACGCAGUGGAUCUCACAUAUCCCGUGGGGAUCCGUGUUCGAGGAGUCGACACUCAAAACGGCGUCGGCAUCGUAACCGUCUCGCGCGCAGCCCGCGAACUCGGAGUAAUUCAGUGCUACGUAACUCCUUUCAAACAAUUCUAAUGGCUAAACGCGUUAGAGGAUAGAUCUUCGUUAGGUACGUCGUCUAAUAUCGAAGUACCACCAUCAAAUUGUGAUUCGACAGAAAAAGUCGUUGAGGCAAUUCAUUCUUUAAAAUAUGGCGGAACACGUGAUUUUUACGUUUCAAAUUUCGACCCGAAUAUACACAACGUUGAUGCCUGGUUUGAUGAGGUAGACCGAGCUCAAAAUUCUUAAUAAGUGGAAUGAUGUUGAAUGUUUGUCACGUAUCGGUCACUGUCUUAAAGGCGACGCGAAAUCUUGGUUAGACGAGUGGGUUACCUACUACGGAUCGGUCCUGGAGUAACUUCCAACGAGAUUUUAAAUCAUUGUGUGCGAGAUUGACGUAGCGAACAUGUUAUACGAGGUCAUGAGUACCAAUUCUGAUAGUUUUGUUACGUAUACGUAAGACGAUCAUUAUUACGAUUACAAGUUGUGAAAGGGUUAAGUGACGAACUAAUUAGCGCGAUCGUUAUGCGUGGGGUCAAUGAACCUAACUUAAAAGCUGCUGCUACAAAUAAAAAUCUGAAACCGUGUGAGUUAGUUAAUUAUUUUUCUACUUUUGUAAAACCAGUCGGGAGUAAAAAUGAAGGUCGCGUAAAUCGAGACUGUUCACUCUAAAGAGGCUGUAAAAUUACAUUACUUAAUACAGACCUGCUCAAAAUCCUACACUUAAAUGUUUUUCAUAAUGAUGAAAUAUUAUCGCUAUCUUUGAAACUGAUUUAAAUACGAAGGCACAUACUGAUGCUAGUAGUUAUGGUUACGGUACUUAAAAUCUUUCAUAAUUAAAAUUGUCACAUUGGUGCAUAUAAAACUAUUGGAUUGAUCCCAAAUCACUUUUGGUUAAGGAACCAUGUCUUCAUGCUUUUGUGAAAAAGUACAUGGCAUAUUGUUUAGCUUGCAUGGCUAGUAAGUGGAUUCUUUAAGCACCAUUACAACCUAUUACUUCAUGGCAAAAGCCAGAAGUUGCUUUAACACCUAAAGUAAGUUGCUUCAUACCAAUGUCCUGGGUCCUCUACUGGAAUAAUAGCUAUAAGCAUGUUCUUCUUCUGGUUGAUGCUUUUUCUAAUUGCUGUCUUAUUUACCUACUGUACACACAGUAUUCUUAUGAGCUACAGAAAGCAUUUAUAAAUGCUAUCUCCUUGUAUUGCACUCUGCAUCUUAUAGAUGCUGAUUGUGGUUGCAAGUUAGAAUCAGCAAACUUUGUAAAAUGGGGUAAUGAUUUAGGAUGCUCCAUUCACUACAUAACUCUUGAGAUGCAUCAUGCCAAUGGUCAAGUGGAGCGGUGUUUGUACUCUUUUCAAUAUGUUAAGGGUUGAGACCUGUAACAGGAAGAAUAAGUGGUUUGAAGAGCUGUGGCAUUCGCAAAAUGUCACCAAACAGGAAACUACUCAAGCGUCUCCACUCAACUUUUUGAUUGGCAUUGGAGUGUGACACAGUAUGCUGAGCACCUCAUGUUUUCCAAAAGGAAGACCUUGCUAUUGUCAUAACUAGAUCCUGGAAUGCACGGACCUUAUAGGGUCACAAGAAUCUUGAAGGAUGACUGAAAUGAGUUGAAACUUGUUGCUGGGGCUUAUGGAAAGGUAACUUUGCUGUGUUGCAGUUCAUAGUGCCCUGGAAUGGCGAAUGGACUCCUUAUGGGUGUGCUGCUUUCUUUGCAUAUCCUUCCGAUGACAGAGGUGCUGAGCACUCCAGUCUUCGACGGUGAAGAAGUUGGUGCAACAACGCCUGUCGAGGACGCCAGUGUGUCAGGAGAGGCCGUGUAAGGGAACGUCGUCGGUUUGACGUUUGUCGAACUGUCAAAUUCAAUUGACAGGACAAGACAAGCAACACUUCCGCCCACUUCCGCUCCAGACCGCACCGCGACCGGUGCAUGAUAUCGCUUUUGAAUCGUAUCUCUUUAUUGUUAUCCUUUGUAGCCAGAAAUUGGUAAUAUCAAGCAUUGUAUUUGUGUUAGUAAUAUUAAAACCAUUUAGUAAGUUGUA